GAUGAACGCUGGCGGCGUGCCUAAUACAUGCAAGUCGAGCGAACGGACGAGAAGCUUGCUUCUCUGAUGUUAGCGGCGGACGGGUGAGUAACACGUGGAUAACCUACCUAUAAGACUGGGAUAACUUCGGGAAACCGUAGCUAAUACCGGAUAAUAUUUUGAACCGCAUGGUUCAAAAGUGAAAGACGGUCUUGCUGUCACUUAUAGAUGGAUCCGCGCUGCAUUGGCUAGUUGGUAAGGUAACGGCUUACCAAGGCAACGAUGCAUAGCCGACCUGAGAGGGUGAUCGGCCACACGGGAACUGAGACACGGUCCAGACUCCUACGGGAGGCAGCAGUAGGGAAUCGUCCGCAAUGGGCGAAAGCCUGACGGAGCAACGCCGCGUGAGUGAUGAAGGUCUUCGGAUCGUAAAGCUCUGUUAUUAGGGAAGAACAUAUGUGUAAGUAACUGUGCACAUCUUGACGGUACCUAAUCAGAAAGCCACGGCUAACUACGUG
RNAcentral lists this ribosomal RNA (497 nucleotides) under uncultured bacterium. Its description in RNAcentral is "partial 16S ribosomal RNA". It matches the Rfam family "Bacterial small subunit ribosomal RNA", at positions 28 to 507 of the family's 1533-position model. The record is from RNAcentral.